ACUCCUACGGGAGGCAGCAGUGGGGAAUAUUGCACAAUGGGGGAAACCCUGAUGCAGCAACGCCGCGUGAGUGAAGGAGGCCUUCGGGUUGUAAAGCUCUGUUAUACGGGAAGAUAAUGACUGUACCGUAUGAGUAAGCCACGGCUAACUACGUGCCAGCAGCCGCGGUAAUACGUAGGUGGCGAGCGUUGUCCGGAUUUACUGGGCGUAAAGGAUGCGUAGGCGGAUAAAUAAGUGAGAUGUGAAAUACCCGGGCCUAACCUGGGGGGUGCAUUUCAAACUGUUUGUCUAGAGUACAGGAGAGGAAAGUGGAAUUUCUAGUGUAGCGGUGAAAUGCGUAGAUAUUAGGAAGAACACCAGUGGCGAAGGCGGCUUUCUGGACUGUUACAGACGCUGAGGCAUGAAAGCAUGGGUAGCGAACAGGAUUAGAUACCCUGGUAGUCA
RNAcentral lists this ribosomal RNA (444 nucleotides) under uncultured bacterium. RNAcentral describes it as "bacterial SSU rRNA". It matches the Rfam family "Bacterial small subunit ribosomal RNA", at positions 335 to 796 of the family's 1533-position model. The record is from RNAcentral.